GGCUCCUGUUCCGGGAAGGGCCGCGAGGCUUAGGCAGUGACCUGCGGCUGUAGAGAGGCCCCACGAACCCGGGCAGUCCGCCCGUGGGCCUCAGCCUGGUCCUCUGCUCCACCUACAGGCUUCAUCAGUUUUUCCUCCCCGCUCCCUCCUGAAUCCAUGCCCUGGUCUCAAGCUGCAGCCACCUCUUCACCCUGCAGUCAUGGCAGCGGCUUCCGGGAGACCCCGCCGCCGUGUGGAGCCAUCCAGACUCCCCACCCCACGGGACACAGUGUUGCACCCUUCCUUACCUGACCCCCAGGAGGACAGGACAGUACAGCCAGAGACCUGAGGCGAUGCUCACAGCCUCCCUGGAAACCCACACACAUCGAAGAACGGAGCACUGCGCACCAGGAGCCCGCAGCCCUCACAGACCUGCCCACCUGCUGGAUCCUCAAGAGGCCCAUGGUGACAGAACUGAUCAAACUAAGAGCUAGGCAAAGCCCUCAAAGAUGACGGCACCAGGCAGGGACAGACAUUGUCCAUGUGAACUGCCAAACAUACACACACACAACUCACUGCAGACUUUAUAAGGAGGUUUGCCCCAUCUCAGGAGAUGCCUGUGCCUGAGAAGGGUGUGGGAGGGAGAAACUGAGCUGUGGGACCAAAAAGAAAUGCCUGAUAGCUGGGAUUCCGGCAGAGCAGUGGGUUGGUGGCAUUACCCGAAAAGGAGUGUGAUCAACUAUAUGCAACAGAGACCAGCUCUCCCCCAGAUGGAGAUAAAGGAAAAUGUUAUAGCCAA
This 778-nucleotide long non-coding RNA is filed under the name Fukomys damarensis (Damara mole-rat). RNAcentral describes it as "lncRNA (ENSFDAG00000031795.1)". The record is from RNAcentral. Lineage: Eukaryota; Metazoa; Chordata; Mammalia; Rodentia; Bathyergidae.